UUGCUCUCUCACUUCGGCAGCACAUAUACUAAAAUUGGAAAUACAGAGAAGAUUAGCAUGGUCCCUGCGCAAGGAUGACAUGCAGAUUCGUGAAGUGUUCCUCUACUUU
This is a small nuclear RNA of Cebus imitator (Panamanian white-faced capuchin), 109 nucleotides long. Lineage: Eukaryota; Metazoa; Chordata; Mammalia; Primates; Cebidae. The record is from Ensembl.